RNAcentral lists this unclassified non-coding RNA (237 nucleotides) under Hyaloscypha sp. Its description in RNAcentral is "partial contains small subunit ribosomal RNA, internal transcribed spacer 1, and 5.8S ribosomal RNA". The stretch from base 1 to 46 matches the Rfam family "Eukaryotic small subunit ribosomal RNA", at positions 1786 to 1831 of the family's 1831-position model. The record is from RNAcentral. Lineage: Eukaryota; Fungi; Ascomycota; Leotiomycetes; Helotiales; Hyaloscyphaceae.
AAGUCGUAACAAGGUUUCCGUAGGUGAACCUGCGGAAGGAUCAUUAAUGAACUCCCCGUCUCUUGAGACGGGUGCAUUUCAAAACCGUGUCUACCUUACCUUUGUUGCUUUGGCGGGCCGCCUUCGGGCGUCGGCUCCGGCUGACUGCGCCCGCCAGAGGACCCCAACUCUUUUGUUUAGUGAUGUCUGAGUACUAUAUAAUAGUUAAAACUUUCAACAACGGAUCUCUUGGUUCUG